Molecule: non-coding RNA, 45 nt
Filed under: Schistosoma mansoni
Lineage: Eukaryota; Metazoa; Platyhelminthes; Trematoda; Strigeidida; Schistosomatidae
Source: RNAcentral
AUCUAGCUGACGAGUCCCAAAUAGAACGAAACGCUUGUCAUGGAU